AUACGGAGGAUCCGAGCGUUAUCCGGAUUUAUUGGGUUUAAAGGGAGCGUAGGUGGAUUGUUAAGUCAGUUGUGAAAGUUUGCGGCUCAACCGUAAAAUUGCAGUUGAUACUGGGUGUCUUGAGUACAGUAGAGGCAGGCGGAAUUCGUGGGGUAGCGGUGAAAUGCUUAGAUAUCACGAAGAACUCCGAUCGCGAAGGCAGCUCACCGGGCCGGAACUGACACUGAUGCUCGAAAGUGCGGGUAUCAAACAGGAUUAGAUACCCUGGUAGUCCGCACAGUAAACGAUGAAUACUCGCUGUUUGCGAUACACGGUAAGCGGCCAAGCGAAAGCGUUAAGUAUUCCACCUGGGGAGUACGCCGGCAACGGUGAAACUCAAAUGAAUUGACGGGG
RNAcentral lists this ribosomal RNA (393 nucleotides) under uncultured bacterium. RNAcentral describes it as "partial 16S ribosomal RNA". It matches the Rfam family "Bacterial small subunit ribosomal RNA", at positions 523 to 918 of the family's 1533-position model. The record is from RNAcentral.